UGUGACUCACCGAGUUCGCCCGGUGACAAUUCAUCUUGGCGAUCACCGCCUUCUCCUCUUUCUGACGCAGGAGGUUCGUUUUCUUGGAAUCAAAACAACAUGGGAGGAAGACUCUCUUACCCUCUUCUGGCUGCAUCCGACGAUGAGGAACGUCUCGAUACUGUUCCUCUUCAGGCCCAUCUCAACGCAGCAGUGGGCGUGGUCAGCACGGGCCUCGGGAAGGCCCGACACGCAGUAAUAGCAGUCACCAAGGAUCUUGAUGCGGAGGCAGUGAUUCUCCUGAGGACACAUCAGAAACGUGCGCAUCAAUACAUGCGAGAUUUUGUGAAACAUCAUGUCCUCCUGCUUGGCGUUGAUGUCCGCCUUCAUCUCCAUGGCGACGUGGCGGGGAAGCACCGACAGCAGCAGACGCUCCUUCAGGUCAACACACGACACAAACGCGGGCUCUUCUAUUAAUAUCCACGCCUCCCUUAUUUGGAGCGCACGGGCUUUUCCUCCUCGAGACUUGGAACAACACGACUGUCGUUCCCCCGGGGAGGAGGAGGAGGCGGACGAGCGACGGCAGGGAAGCGCCAAUGUUGGAUAAACAAGGCGUACCUAAUGAAGCGGCUAACAGCAAAUGUCAAUCAAGACUUCAUGCUGACCAAUUAGGGGAAAAAAAUUAUGAGAAUUAUUAAAACAAAUGUAUAAUUCAAUGUAAUUAUUUUACAAUUGUAUAAAAGAUACAUUAAAUUACAUUAUUCGAAAUAAGAUUCAAAUACAUUUAGAAAACAAAUGUAUUUUGAGUCAUCUUGCCAGUUUCAGGAAAAAAAAAUGUAAUUGAAAUGGUCAUUGCAUAUUUUCAGCAUCAUUUCUUAAGGUCGUGUGUAAUUUCAAUGACUCGUCUAAAUCCACAAUCUCUUAUUUAUCCUUGCUUAUAAGGAGGCUCAAACACAUGAUUAGCGUUACCGCCGUACAGUGUCGGUGUCGAACAAAGCGGCGCUUCUUCCAACAUUUAACGGUGGAAGACUCAUUGCUUCCAGCUUCUGAGGGAAAUGACAGUCACAGUAAAAAAUUGCAUUCCAUAAAGAAAAGAUUUCUUGUUUGCUUUCACGAGAUGUAACAAUUUGUGACUUUGUUUGAUGGGGUUAGCGGUUUGUAUCGAUAGCAGCACAGUAUGCGCAUUGUGGCCCUGCAGGAGGUAAUGCGGGUCAUGCGCUAACUGUUCAACCUCAUUGUGAACUCAAGAGGAUCAAAAAAGAGCACUCACAUGAUUUUUUUUUUAAAGCUCCUUUCACACUGAGGCUGAACACUUUCACAACCACUAAAUAACUCAUAACCAACACUAACCCAUCGUGUACCGUCGUAAUCAAUCGACAAAUAAUGUACAUUGCGCUAAUUAGCAUGGCGGGCUGAUUGAACAUGCGAUUGGCUGGCAACCGGUUCAGGG
This is a long non-coding RNA of Hippocampus comes (tiger tail seahorse), 1429 nucleotides long. RefSeq lists it as uncharacterized. NCBI's taxonomy places the organism in Eukaryota, Metazoa, Chordata, Actinopteri, Syngnathiformes, Syngnathidae. The record is from RefSeq and is a predicted model, not a curated record. The transcript has 5 exons.